AUUGAACGCUGGCGGCAUGCUUUACACAUGCAAGUCGAACGGGCUGGGGGCAACUCCAGUCAGUGGCGAACGGGUGAGUAAUACAUCGGAACGUACCUCGUAGUGGGGGAUAACUCGGCGAAAGCCGUGCUAAUACCGCAUAUGCUCUACGGAGGAAAGCAGGGGACCGUAACAGGCCUUGUGCUAUGGGAGCGGCCGAUGUCCGAUUAGCUAGUUGGUGAGGAAUGGCUCACCAAGGCGACGAUCGGUAGCUGGUCUGAGAGGAUGAUCAGCCACACUGGGACUGAGACACGGCCCAGACUCCUACGGGAGGCAGCAGUGGGGAAUUUUGGACAAUGGGGGCACCUGAUCAGCCAUGCCGCGUGCGGGAAGAAGGCCUGGUU
RNAcentral lists this ribosomal RNA (383 nucleotides) under uncultured bacterium. RNAcentral's name for it is "bacterial SSU rRNA". It matches the Rfam family "Bacterial small subunit ribosomal RNA", at positions 30 to 424 of the family's 1533-position model. The record is from RNAcentral.